This 31-nucleotide non-coding RNA is filed under the name Homo sapiens (human). The record is from RNAcentral. Lineage: Eukaryota; Metazoa; Chordata; Mammalia; Primates; Hominidae.
UACUACCCCCCAGGGCCCUACACGCCAGGGC